RNAcentral lists this ribosomal RNA (301 nucleotides) under uncultured bacterium. Its description in RNAcentral is "partial 16S ribosomal RNA". It matches the Rfam family "Bacterial small subunit ribosomal RNA", at positions 509 to 807 of the family's 1533-position model. The record is from RNAcentral.
CAGUAGCCGCGGGAAUACGGAGGGUGCAAGCGUUAAUCGGAAUUACUGGGCGUAAAGGGCGCGUAGGCGGUUUGACAAGUCUGAUGUGAAAUCUCUGGGCUCAACCCAGAGUCUGCAUCGGAAACUGUCGAGCUUGAGUAUGGGAGAGGUGAUUGGAAUUUCCGGUGUAGCGGUGAAAUGCGUAGAUAUCGGAAGGAACACCUGUGGCGAAAGCGGCUCACUGGACCAUUACUGACGCUGAGGCGCGAAAGCUAGGGGAGCAAACAGGAUUAGAUACCCCCGUAGUCCCUGUCUCUUAUAC